RNAcentral lists this ribosomal RNA (560 nucleotides) under endophytic bacterium AF-13. Its description in RNAcentral is "bacterial SSU rRNA". It matches the Rfam family "Bacterial small subunit ribosomal RNA", at positions 793 to 1322 of the family's 1533-position model. The record is from RNAcentral.
CCCACAGCUGUAAACAGAUGAAUGCUACUCGUAGGGGUUCAUGUCACCUCUGUGGCGACCUGCUAACUGCAUUAAGUCAUUCCNGCCUGGGGUAUUACAGGUCGCAAGAUUAAUAACUCAAAGGAAUUGACGGGGGCCCNGCACAAUCGGUGGUAGCAUNUGGUUUAAUUCGAAGCAACGCUGCUAGAACCUUACCAUCCCUUUNACAUAGGCGUGUUAUCCGGAGAGAUCCGGGGUCCCCUUUCGGGGGCGCGCACACAGGUGCUGCAUGUCUNNUCAGUCAGCUCGUGUCUGUGAGAUGUUGGGUUAAGUCCNCAGCAACGAGCGCAACCCACGUCCUCAGUUGCCAUCAUUCAGUUGGGCACUCUGGGGAGACUGCCAGUGUGAUAAGCCGCGAGUGAAGGUGUGGAUGACGUCAAGUCCUCAUGGCCCUUACGGGAUGGGCUACACACAGUGCUACAAUGNCAGGUGACAAUGGGCAGCGAUAUGGGUGCGACCUGGAUGCGAAUCCCCAUAAAGCCGUCUUCAGUUUCGGAUGCACUCUUCAACUCGGGUGCAUG